CCUCGAUCCGCAAGCGGUGCGGAGUGAAUCAACGAUUUAGAACUCAUCCCUGAUUUGUCCUAAAUCGGUCCCUUCUAGAUCAAGCCUGGGAACUUCAGUCCGAACCGCAUGGUUCGUAUUUUUGAAACCCUCCCAAGAAACAAAACUCAGUUAAAAUCUCCUUAAUCUUGGAACCUACUCGAUUCAAAAUUCAAAACCUAAUUUGAACCGAGACAAUUAUAACAAAGGAGAGCAGUACUGUUGGCCGGGCCUACCUUUCAUCCACUGAGGGUUUCAGGUCUGGGCGAAUAUAGAAUAGAUCCUUCCAGCGUCUCUUCUACUUCAAGGACAUAAGAGAAGGCGGCUCUCUCCUUGGGAACGAACGGGAACUGAACCGAAAGAAGGAAGGAUGAGAGAAGAGGAGCUGCUGCGGUGCCAAAUUCAGGAAUGGUACCCCAUCUUCAAACCUUAUUCCAUCCGCACCCUCUUCCACCCCCUCCCCGACUCCUUCCUCCGUUACCUCCUCGGCCUCCCCCUCAACCCUUCUUCCCCUCACGCCGACCCUGACGCUGACGCCGAUGCCCCGCCCCCUUUCCUUCUUCCCCUCUCCGUCUCCGGCCGCGACCCCCUCCCUCGCCCCACCGCCCACCUCGACCCCGUCUCCCUCCUCGACUCCCAGACUUCCUUCUCUUCCUCCGACGACGAUGACGCCGCCGAGGCCUCCGCCGCCGCGGCUCCGUCAUUCCCGGACCUGGAGGCGGCGGUGGAGCGGUCCAUCGCGGCCCUGGGCGCCGCCGCCUUCCCCAAGCUGAACUGGAGCGCCCCCAAGGACGCCGCCUGGAUCUCCGCCGACGGCACCCUCCGCUGCACCUCCUUCGCGGACGUCGCCCUCCUCCUCCGCUCCUCCGACGCCAUCGCCCACGACCUCUCCCAUGCCCUCCCUUCCUGCCGCGACAACGAGCGAUCCUCCACGACAACCUUCUACCUGGCCCUCCGCAAGUGGUACCCGUCUCUCCGCCCGGAGAUGGAGUUCCGGUGCUUCGUCCGCCGCCGCCGCCUCGUCGGCAUCUCCCAGCGCGAGGUCACCGGCUUCUAUCCGGUGCUCCUCGACCGCCGCCACGAGAUCCAGCCCCUCAUCGAGGCCUUCUUCGCCGAGGUCGUGAACCCGAGAUUCGGAUCGGAGGACUACACGUUCGACGUGUACGUGACCGGGGACGGCCGGGUGAAGCUGCUGGACUUCAAUCCCUGGGGGGUCUUCACGCUGCCGCUGCUCUUCAGCUGGGAGGAGCUGGAGGGCGAGGGAUUUGGUGGGGAGGAAGGCCGAGCGGUGGAGUUCAGGAUCGUGGAGAGCCAGUGCGGGGUGAGGCCGGGGCUGAAGACGGCCGUGCCCUACGAUUACUUGGAUACAUCGGAGGGCAGCGGCUGGGAUCAGUUCUUGAAGAAGGCGGAUGAGGAGAUCAGGAGGCAGGCCCAGACCACUCCCGCCCCUGAUGCUGGCUGAAUGCCUACUAGUAGAAGAAAAGGAAAAAAAAAAGGGUAGGACUCUUCAUGCUCUUUGAUCUAAGAUGUCUUUUGGCCAUGGGUUAUGAGGUGCUCUUGAGGACAAUAUUCCAUUAAUCCAUUUCACUGUCAUGGAAUCUCCUUCCAUCUAAAUUUCCAUGGCAUCGAGUAGAAAGCAGUCACAGUCCUUUCCCAGUCUUCCCCAGGUUAUUCUGUGCUGAACUUUUCAGAAUGCUCAUGUUUGCACUUGGUAAAAGUUAAAUCUAGUUGACACCUUCUAGUUCUAGAUCAUAUCGCUGCCAUCAAUAAAUAUUUUUUAUGGUUUGUCAAAGUAGCAGCAUAUCCAAUGUUGAGCUACUUAGAAUUGCUGAGCUUGGAUCUUCUUCUUAAAAAAAAGAAAAAAAGCCAGCACCUGUUGGUUGACAACCACUUCGGUUGGUCUCAAAUAAGAGCUGGGACAAAUAAGAGCUGGGACACCGUGGAAGUUCUUAUCGAGCUUGUUUUGUUUGGGGGCAACCAAGCAAGUUGUAUGAAUCCUCUAAAUGUCAGCUGUUGUUGUGUGUAAAAAGUGUAUGCUUAGGAAACUUAGAAUGCUGCAUUCAACGUUUCAAGUGAUGUUCAUUGCAUUUUCAACUGA
Non-coding RNA from Phoenix dactylifera (date palm), 2116 nucleotides. Lineage: Eukaryota; Viridiplantae; Streptophyta; Magnoliopsida; Arecales; Arecaceae. The record is from RefSeq and is a predicted model, not a curated record.